GCACUUUAUCUCUGAGACACUUAACUACAUGCUUACCUUAAAUGCAAAGCAGGUGUGUAAGUGCUUUGCUGGAUCAGGGCCAGCUCUGUACAAACCUGACCUCAGAGAGUUAGGAUCCCCUGCUCCUCCUGGUGUGAAGAUGACCUUGCUUACAUCAGAGUCAUGUGGUUGCACUUCAGAAACAGACAGCAUUCAGUCACAGGUACCUGGAAAUGUAUUUUAUCAUCUGUAAUGCAUUCCACCUGACUCAUAUUCAUAACCCACUCCAAGGUACAGGAACGGAGAGCAUGGCCACGGGUUACUAAACAC
Molecule: long non-coding RNA, 309 nt
Filed under: Anas platyrhynchos platyrhynchos (common mallard)
Lineage: Eukaryota; Metazoa; Chordata; Aves; Anseriformes; Anatidae
Description: lncRNA (ENSAPLG00000017693.1)
Source: RNAcentral